GUGAGGAAUAUUGGGCAAUGCCCGCAAGGGUGACCCAGCAACGCCGCGUGGAGGAUGAAUGCCGUAAGGUUGUAAACUCCUUUUGGAGGGGACGAAAAAAUAAGUUGGUAGCUUAUAUUGACUGUACCCUCAGAAAAAGCCCCGGCUAACUACGUGCCAGCAGCCGCGGUAAUACGUAGGGGGCCAGCGUUGUCCGGAUUUACUGGGUGUAAAGGGCGCGUAGGCGGACUUGUAAGUCAGAGGUGAAAUCCUGCAGCUUAACUGCAGAACUGCCUCUGAUACUGCUAGUCUUGAGUGUGGAAGAGAGAGAUGGAAUUCCAGGUGUAGUGGUGAAAUACGUAGAUAUCUGGAAGAACACCAGUGGCGAAGGCGAUCUCUUGGUCCAUUACUGACGCUGAGGCGCGAAAGCGUGGGGAGCAAACAGGAUUAGAUACCCUAGUAGUCC
Molecule: ribosomal RNA, 445 nt
Filed under: uncultured bacterium
Lineage: Bacteria
Description: bacterial SSU rRNA
Rfam family: Bacterial small subunit ribosomal RNA
Source: RNAcentral